Molecule: long non-coding RNA, 199 nt
Filed under: Gossypium raimondii (Peruvian cotton)
Lineage: Eukaryota; Viridiplantae; Streptophyta; Magnoliopsida; Malvales; Malvaceae
Description: long non-coding RNA (GRAI_LNC001838)
Source: RNAcentral
CCCGAACAAAACCAUCAACAAUUAGAUGCUCGUAUACAACUUCAUGAUAAUGCCAGUUUAUGUUCACACACUUCUUACACGGGCAAAGAAUCAUGUUCUCUUGGCUUGCAUAUUGAAAUGCAAAAUUUAGAAAAGUCUGUACUCCAUUUCGAUAACCGUCGCUUACCCUUGACAAAUUCAUCCAAGAGCGAUCCAUUUC